GACGAACCGUGCGAACGUUAUUCGGAAUCACUGGGCUUAAAGCGCGUGUAGGCGGGACGGCACGUCGGUCGCUGAAAUCCCCCGGCUCAACCGGGGAACGGGCGCCGAUACGACCGCCCUGGAGGGGCGUAGGGGGAUCGGGAACUUCCGGUGGAGCGGUGAAAUGCGUUGAGAUCGGAAGGAACGCCCGUGGCGAAAGCGCGGUCCUGGACGCUUACUGACGCUGAGUAGCGAAAGCGUGGGGAGCGAACAGG
This 254-nucleotide ribosomal RNA is filed under the name uncultured bacterium. RNAcentral's name for it is "partial 16S ribosomal RNA". It matches the Rfam family "Bacterial small subunit ribosomal RNA", at positions 524 to 776 of the family's 1533-position model. The record is from RNAcentral.